CACCGCCUGUUGCCCCCACUGCCCUUUGGGUUGCUUGUCAGUUUGGAUUACAGACUACUGUCAUCCCUUUGACUCAGCUUAAAAUACUUGCAGCUUCAUAAACUGUCAGAAGAUUUACAUAAGAUGAGAGCUUUCUCCAGACGAUAGAGGAUGUCAGGGAAGGAAUGCAUUGCAAGGAGCUCCUCGGGGCAGUUGGAUUCCACAUGGAUUCACAGCGAGCAGCACAUGUUUGGAAAGAGGAUGGCUGUAAAGGUAAGGGCUCAGCCUCCAUGUUUUCUUCACCCGAAACGGUCCACGUGGUUGCUGGGCGCAGCUUCUUCCCUUCUAUUCCGGAGCACACAUCGCAUGUUUCCUUAACCCCGUUCUUCAAACCCAGGCUCCCAGAUUCCCUCAAAAGCAAGAAAGAAAAGGAGCCCAGGAAGAGUGCUUCCUUAACCCCGUUGCUCAAACCCAGAUUCCCUUGAAAGUAAGAAAGAAAAGGAUCCCAGGAGUGGUGCUUCCUUAACCCGUUCUUCAAACCCAGACUCUCUUGAAAGAAAGGAAAGGGUCCCAAGAAAGUCUUAUAAAGCCCUAUAUGCUUCGGGUUCAACCUAUCUUCGAGACCGCAUCUCCUUCAAUGAAACUUUGUGGGCCAAAAGAUCUACUGGAGAGGCACUCCUCUCGGUCCCAGCACUGUCCCAAGUACGGCUGGUGGGGACAACAGAGAGGCCCUACUUAGUGGUGGCACGCCGGCUCUGGAAUGCCCUCCCUAGAGAGAUUAGGUUAGCCCCUACUCUCCAAGCUUUUCAGUCUAGUCUAAAAACUUGGCUUUUUAAAUAGGCCUCUGACCUUGAAUAGUUUUUAAUGGCUAGACAUGAGGGCUUAGUGAUUGCUUCACUCGGGCACUUGGAUUGCUAAUUUAUCUGCAGGCAUCGCUGAAUGUUAUGAUUUAAAAAAAUAAUAUUAUGUGUCAUUUUAAGCAUGGUUACAGUUGUACAUUUAUGUUGUGAUAGUCUAUAUGUUUAUGUAUUGUUUAUGUUAUGUUUAGCACUGGUAAUGCUUCUGUGAACCGCCCCGAGUCCCUUCAGGAGAUGGUGGCGGGGUAUAAAUAAAGAUGAUGAUGAUGAUGAUGAUGAUGAUGAUGAUGAUGAUGAUGAUGAUGAUGAUUAGGAUGCUUCCUUAACCCAUUGAGUUCCCUUCAGGGUGAGAAGAGUGGGAUAUACAUGUAGUAAAUAAAUAAAUAAAUAAAUAAAUAAAUAAAUAAUAAAUCCUGUUCUUCAAACCCAGACUCCCUUGAAAGGAAGAUAGGAAAGGAUCCCAGGAAUGGAAAGGGGAGCUUCGUAAGUUCCCCAUUCCCGCUAAUGGGCCUGAUCUUCCCGGAUCUUUUGGUUGCCUAGCUGAAAACAGCUUUUGCCAUUAGCCGAUUUUCAGGAGGCUCCCAAAAAUGGAUCUGGAUACCCAACGAAAUUCAAAUACCAAAAAAGGAUCACCCUCCAGCUGAGUUGCAUAAGCCUUUUCUUCAUAUCACCAGAUCAACAAAAGGAUUUGCUACAGCUGAAAACUGGAGGGGUCUCAUAUACCUUUAAUGGUGUCGUAGAAAUGGGUAUUUCAGUAAGCAUCACUUGUUACUUUGUUGCAUAAUAAGCAAGACUUACUGAAGUUCCGUCUUCUGCAUCACCAUUAAAGGUACAUAAGACCUUCCCAAUGUUUCACUCUGAUAACUAUAGAAGGGACCCUACCUCACCCACAAAGACACUUCCCCUAUGGAACAUGGGAAGCUUGUGCCAUAGUUAAUCUGCAGAGCCCCACUAGAAGUGAGUCUGGAUCAUGUGAUGGAUGGCAUGGGGCUCUAUAGAUUACCUCUGCUGCAAGUGUCCUAUGACGCUUGCAGCCACCUGUGUGAUGAAGUGUGAUGAAGUCGUAAUGCCCCAUCUAUACUGAACUAUAACACUGAUUAACUGCAUUGAACUGGAUUAUGUGGGAGUGUAGACUCAUACAAUCCACUUCAAUGCAGUUUCAAACCAUUAUAUGGCAAUGUAGAUACUGUUGGUGCAAACAAUUGUUUUGCUUUGCAGGACAACCUGAAGGGAGUCACAGUCUUCUUGAUGAGAUGGUGUCUUCUUGGUUCCUACUACAAAUCUUGAAUCAGAUGCCCUCCAUUGUGCCUUCAUUAUUGCUUUGAAGGGUUGGAGAAAUCUUCAAGUUUAGACCCUUGCUCUCCUUCUCCCAUGGAGUACAUACCAGGCAGUUAGUAAGGGGCCUGGACAUUAAAUGUGCAUUUCCAUCGAUGCUGCACCACAGAGAAAUGUAGGGAGUCAAUUGCAGCCUCAACGAGGGCUCUGCCUCAUAGAGGGGUUAGGCCUGGGGCGCCUGGAGACACAUUAAAGAUUAAACAGGAGACAAGAAGAAAGGGGUUGGAGGCAGCAGGGGAGGGGAGCGAAAGGGAAGGAGCUGAGUAAACAUGCUGGAGCAGUUCCAGAAUGGGUCAAGCCUUGGACAAGUGACUGCUUUCCUACUUAGCUGCAUCCCUACAUUGUCACUCGCUGGGCUAAACAGCAUCUCGCCUGAGUCGCCUGCAGCUAAAAUUCCACCACCUGACCUCACAGGCUUCCUCUGCCACCAACAUAGCAGCCAAGAGGUGUGUGUAUGCGUGCGUGUAGGGGGGUAGCACCGAAGAAGGGAGGUCGGGCCAUAAAGGAGUGCAAACCUCUAAGCCGGCACCCAACCUGGGCCUCUCAACAGAAUAUCAGCUGCAGGGUCUCAUUCCCAGCACCUGCAUGAGAUAUCCAAAGCACUUGGCUGGGGACAUGGACUCAGAGGGCAUGCUAUGGAACAUGUGAACAAGACCCCUUUGUAUAACCAUCACCUAUCUGUGUAUUGAUGUCUUGUGGACGGUCUUGCACUUGUCUAUUUAAGUAUUUUUUCGCUAAUCCAUUUCCACUUUCAUUUUAUCAUGGGGUUGGUGGAUACAAACAGGUAGAAUAAGGGAUAGAACUCCAGCCCCUUUAAUUGUCAUGUGGAAGAGAGACGUUCAGCAGGCGGGGCUUGCAUGACAAGCAACAUUGGCUGAAGUUUUAUCCUCUACAUCAGGGGUCCUCAAACUUUUUAAGCCGAGGGCCGGUCCACAAUCCUUCAGACUGUUGAGGGGCCGGAUUAUCAUUUGAAAAAAAAAAUACAAACAAAUUCCGAUGCACACUGCAUAUGUCUUAUUUGUAGUGCAAAAACAACAACAACAACAACGAAAGAACAAUACAAUAUUUUUUUUAAAAAACAAUUUUAACCAACAUACAUUUAUCAGGAUUUCAAUGGGAAGUGUGGCCCUGCUUCUGGCCAGUGAGAUAGUCAAGUUAAUUAGGGUUGUUGUUGUUGUUGUUGUUGUUGUUGUUGUGUGCCUUCAAGUCAUUUCAGACUUUGGGUGAGCCGAAGUCUAAAAUUUAUUUAUUUAUUUAUUUGUUUAUUAUUUACUGCAUUUACUUAUUACAUUUGUAUCACACCCUUCUCACCCCAAAGGGGACUCAGAGUGGCUUACAAGUUAUAUGUACAUACAAUAUAUUAUAUUAUUAGCAUAGCACAAUAUUAGCUUUAUAUAUUACUAUAUUGAACUAUACCACUAUACUGUAAUAUUAUUAGUAAUAUUAUAUGUAAUAUAGAAUAUAUAAUUAAUAUUAUUAUAUGGUAUUAUUAUUCGUGUUAUAUUGAAUUACAUUAUAAUAUUAUUAUCAAUAUUAUAUGUAUUAUAUGUAUAUACAAUAUAUUAUAUUAUAAAACUGAGGGCGGGGGCCAGGUAAAUGACCUCGGAGGGCCGCAUCCGGCCCCCGGGCCUUAGUUUGGGGACCCCUGCUCUACAUAAACAUUCAAGUGAUAGGAGGCCUGUUCCUUAUUUCAUCAUGCACCAGUUGUUCCCAAACUUGGGUCCUCCAGGUAUUUUUGGACUUUAGCUCCCCAAAUCCUGACUGUUGGCCAAACUGCCUGGAUCUUCUGAGAGUUGAGGCCCAAAAUACUUGGUGGACCAAAGUUUGCAUCACGAUUGUCAUGGGAUAGCUACUUCAAAGUGAUUGAUGAGGAAAGCACACACAGCAUGAAGAGGCAUUCAGAUGCAUGGAGAAUUAGAAAGAACUUUUGAAAGGCAUUUUAAGUUAGCAGCUAUGUUGUAGAUCAGUCAUCAGAGGCUGAUGGUUUAACUGAUGAUUUAGAGAAGAUUGUGAGCUUUCCUGUGGAUGAUUCAGAGAGGAUUGUGAGCUUUCUUGUGGCACAAAGAGAUGGGCCCUCAAGCCUGGGAAAUGAUAGUUCUUGCUGUGAGAAAACUGGCUGGGAAAGUGCAGGGCCUCAAGAACAUUCAGGGGAGUCAGAAGCAGCAAUAGCAGAUAAGGAAUCAAGGGAAGAGCUGAGUGAUAAAGAAGGUUCUCAUGGGAAACCACCUGCAGCUAUGGAGAUCAACAAAAGCCUUCAUUUAGAAAUCAGAGCCAAAAAUAGAUUGCAUCAUUCAGAGAGAUUACAUGGAAAGUUAUAAAAUAAAUUCACGGGAAACGGAAUGCUUUCAUGGAUGUCUAUUAAGCAACAAGUUGUUUACCUUAAGGUCAGUUCAGGCAACGUUGCAUUAGAGUGAGAAGCUAAGCUUAAGUUCUCUUGUUCCUGGUUCAAGUUAAGCUUUGAUUUUGGAUUUAAUAUAUCCUGGAGGUUUUGUAUGUUCCUGUUCAUGUACUCCUCUUCAAGUCUUACUAGUUCUAUAUUCCUGAUUGUGGACUUAUGCUGUAUCUGUGAUUCCUGGCUGUUCCUAGACUUUGUCACCUUUGGAACUUUAUGACACAUUUGAAUUAUUGUUUGGUUAUCACCUGUUGCUAAACCUUUUUUGAUUAUAUAUCUCCCUUUCUUAUUCCUGAUUUUUAUAUGCUUUUUAUCUGUUUUUAAAAAAAUAAUAAACUAUUUGUUUAUAUUCAUAGACUUUUGUGUGGUGCAGUGGUCAUAGGUGUUUCCAGGCCUGGAGUGCAACAAAUUAUUACUUUUUAAUAUUAUUUUAAUGUACAUCUCACCUUCUUUUUGAUAAGUUCAAGGCACCAUAUAGCUUUCCUUCUUACUAUUUGAUCCUCAAAAAUAUCCUGUGAGGUAAGUACAUGGGCAAAGUCACAAUUAACCUUCAUUGUGAGUGUAGUUUACUGAGGCUUCAGAGUGUGGUGGCUGAAUCUUUUACUAUUAGGAUGGAUGGCAUUUUGAAUGCUGUUUCACGUUCAAAAGAACAAAACAAAACCAACACAAACUGUUUGCAAUUGGAACAUUGCACAGCAGGGAAAAAUCUGGACUGAGUGAGAAAUGUUCUCCCUAAUUUUAAAAAAAAUGACAGAAAUUUAGUGUUGCUUUGUUGUAGGAGAGUACUAAGUGAUUGAUUAAAUGUUUGUGUCUGCUCACAUAGCAGUGCCCUUGGGGUAAUUUAGAAAUAUAAACAUGAAAGCAUUAUGAAGAGAGAUAUGGGAGGAAGAUUUAGGGAUUAGGAUAAGGGAAGUGGAUUGGAUACAGUUAUGGAAUCAAAGACAUUUAAGGAACCUAUUGAUACAUGUUAAAGAAAAUUAUUAUAAACUGGUUUGGAAAUGGUACUUAACACCAGUAAAGAUAGCAAACAUUAAUAAAAAUGCUACAAAAUAUUGUUGGAGAGGUUGCCAGGAGGUGGGUACAUAUAUACAUAUGUGGUGGCAAUAUAAAUAUGUAAAUGUAUUUUGGGGGAAGGCAUUUAGAGAAAUAGAAGCUAUAAUGGAUAAGAAGAUAGGAAAAAGUGCAAGUAUUGCAUUGUUGUCAUUAUAUAAUGUCAAGAAUUUGAAAAAAAACAGAGAAGGAUGCAAUAAAUAACAUGUUAACUGCAGCAAGGCUGUUGAUAGCAAGGAACUGGAAAGGUAAAAUAAACAUACAAAUAGAAGAAUGGUAUAAAGAACUAUGGAAAUUAGCAAUAAACGUUAAGUUAACAUGUAGAUUAAGAGUUAAGAAAGGGGUAUGAAAGGAAAACGACUUUGACGAGGUUUAGGGAAAAUUUAUUGAGAAGGGUUUAAAAGAAGUAGAUGGGAAAUUACCUCCACAAGAAGAAAUGAUAUUUUGGGAAGAGAAUGUAAAUUGAAAUGGCUCGAGGGGGGUGGGGGUGGGGGUGGGCACAGAGGUGAAAAGAAACAGCAUACAAGAUAUGCAAUGAAUUAAGAAUGAAAUAUAAGAGUAUUGAAGGUAUUGAUGUAUGGAUGUAUUUUAAAAAAACUAAUUAAAAAAACAUGGAAGCAAUAUAUAAAAUAACAUAUUUUCCACCCAGAUUCAGGCAAUCAGAUGUAACAGGCUCUAAGUGUUUAAAUAUUAAAAAGUUAAAAGCUGGAAAUAAAACUUAAACAAUAAAAGCAGAAAGCGAAAUAAAUAUCAGCACUC
Anolis carolinensis (green anole) is the source of this 6372-nucleotide long non-coding RNA. RefSeq lists it as uncharacterized. The transcript has 2 exons. Lineage: Eukaryota; Metazoa; Chordata; Lepidosauria; Squamata; Anolidae. The record is from RefSeq and is a predicted model, not a curated record.